UGAGAUAAAAUGAUCUUGCCUAACUUUCU
RNAcentral lists this non-coding RNA (29 nucleotides) under Mus musculus (house mouse). The record is from RNAcentral. Lineage: Eukaryota; Metazoa; Chordata; Mammalia; Rodentia; Muridae.